UACGGAGGGUGCAAGCGUUAUCCGGAUUCACUGGGUUUAAAGGGUGCGUAGGUGGGCAGGUAAGUCAGUGGUGAAAUCUCCGGGCUUAACCCGGAAACUGCCGUUGAUACUAUUUGUCUUGAAUAUAGUGGAGGUGAGCGGAAUAUGUCAUGUAGCGGUGAAAUGCUUAGAUAUGACAUAGAACAUCGAUUGCGAAGGCAGCCCACUACGCAACUAUUGACGCUGAGGCACGAAAGCGUGGGGAUCAAACAGG
This 253-nucleotide ribosomal RNA is filed under the name uncultured bacterium. RNAcentral's name for it is "partial 16S ribosomal RNA". It matches the Rfam family "Bacterial small subunit ribosomal RNA", at positions 524 to 776 of the family's 1533-position model. The record is from RNAcentral.